RNAcentral lists this ribosomal RNA (462 nucleotides) under uncultured bacterium. RNAcentral's name for it is "partial 16S ribosomal RNA". It matches the Rfam family "Bacterial small subunit ribosomal RNA", at positions 28 to 507 of the family's 1533-position model. The record is from RNAcentral.
GACGAACGCUGGCGGCGUGCUUAAUACAUGCAAGUCGAACGGUGAAGCCCUUCGGGGUGGCUCAGUGGCGAACGGGUGAGUAACACGUGAGCAACCUGCCCCUGGCUCUGGGACAACCACUGGAAACGGUGGCUAAUACCGGAUACGACCCGCCUCGGCAUCGAGUGUGGGUGGAAUGUUUUUCGGCUGGGGAUGGGCUCGCGGCCUAUCAGCUCGUUGGUGAGGUGAAGGCUCACCAAGGCGACGCCGGGUAGCCGGCCUGUGAGGGCGACCGGCCACACUGGGACUGAGACACGGCCCAGACUCCUACGUGAGGCAGCAGUGGGGAAUAUUGCACAAUGGGCGAAAGCCUGAUGCAGCGACGCCGCGUGAGGGAUGACGGCCUUCGGGUUGUAAACCUCUUUCAGCUCCGAAGAAGCGAAAGUGACGGUAGGAGCAGAAGAAGCACCGGCUAACUACGUG